This 426-nucleotide ribosomal RNA is filed under the name Triticum aestivum (bread wheat). RNAcentral describes it as "partial small subunit ribosomal RNA". The record is from RNAcentral. Lineage: Eukaryota; Viridiplantae; Streptophyta; Magnoliopsida; Poales; Poaceae.
AUGGAAGAGAAAAUAGAAAAUGGACAAUUGAAAGCCGAGUGCAAUUAUUGUCACAAAAAAUUUACUGCAGGACCAAGAGCUGGCACAAAUCACUUGCAUUUGCAUUUGGAAUCUUGUCCUGCUAGGCAUGCACCCAUAGGCCCAAAGCAACAAAAAUUAAGGCUGACAAAAGGCGAAGGUGGCAAAGUGAAUUUGGAAAAUGUCAUUUUUGACCAAGAGAAGGCUAGGAGAGAUCUUGGGUUGAUGAUAUGUGAACAUGAGUAUCCUUUAUCUAUCGUGGAACAUAGUGGUUUUCGUAGAUUUUGUUCUUCUCUACAACCAUUGUUUAAGAUGGUGUGUAGAAAUACUAUUAGGAAUGAUAUUGUGGCUAUGCAUUCUGCCCAAAGGGAGAAGAUGGUGAAUUUUUUUGCAACAUUUAAACACUGA